Molecule: ribosomal RNA, 492 nt
Filed under: uncultured bacterium
Lineage: Bacteria
Description: partial 16S ribosomal RNA
Rfam family: Bacterial small subunit ribosomal RNA
Source: RNAcentral
AGUGAACGCUGGCGGUAGGCCUAACACAUGCAAGUCGAACGGCAGCACAGUAAGAGCUUGCUCUUACGGGUGGCGAGUGGCGGACGGGUGAGGAAUACAUCGGAAUCUACUUUUUCGUGGGGGAUAACGUAGGGAAACUUACGCUAAUACCGCAUACGACCUACGGGUGAAAGCAGGGGAUCUUCGGACCUUGCGCGAUUGAAUGAGCCGAUGUCGGAUUAGCUAGUUGGCGGGGUAAAGGCCCACCAAGGCGACGAUCCGUAGCUGGUCUGAGAGGAUGAUCAGCCACACUGGAAUUGAGACACGGUCCAGACUCCUACGGGAGGCAGCAGUGGGGAAUAUUGGACAAUGGGCGCAAGCCUGAUCCAGCCAUACCGCGUGGGCGAAGAAGGCCUUCGGGUUGUAAAGCCCUUUUGUUGGGAAAGAAAAGCAGUAGGUUAAUACCCCGCUGUUCUGACGGUACCCAAAGAAUAAGCACCGGCUAACUUCGUG